Long non-coding RNA from Oxyura jamaicensis (ruddy duck), 2981 nucleotides. RefSeq lists it as uncharacterized. NCBI's taxonomy places the organism in Eukaryota, Metazoa, Chordata, Aves, Anseriformes, Anatidae. The transcript has 6 exons. The record is from RefSeq and is a predicted model, not a curated record.
AUGUUACUAUCUUAAUAAUCAACCUGGUCAAAACCUUUCAGGUUUCUUCGUUUGAGUCAGUCGCCUUGAUUCAGAAUGUCACGAGCCUUAAGAUUUCAUGCUGAGGCGCCUUGCAAAUCCGACACUUAAGAUCCUCCUAGACCUUGAGGUGAUCAGCAUAAGAGGCCAGAUCCCCUCGAGCCAUCUACACGUAGCUUCACCUUAUUCUUUAAGGGCAGAAAAUUUGAGACGGUGACCGCCGUAACAGUAAAUUUGGCUUUCAGUUGGGGCCCCCCCUCCGGUUUAGAAAGAGGAACACCAGAUUGACCACAUUCCCAGCUAGAAAAAUCUUCUUGCGUCAAUCAAGCCUCACCCUGGCUCAUUGGGCUGUCAGUUUGAUCGUCGUUAGAUUGAAGAGAACACCUAGAUGCAGCGAUCGGCUAUAGAUACUUCUAGAUCGUCUAGAUCUGCUAGACCUUGGGCCAAAGAGGGUCGACCUGCAAACUUGCAAGGUUUAUUUUAAAUACGCAUUACAGUGUUUUUUAUUCUAAUGUAAUUCUGCAAUGUAAUUCAGCUUUUAACAUUUUUCUAGGUAGUAAAAUUGCUCAAGACAAGUAGGCCCAGAGAUUUUUCCAACUCACAGAUGCUAGUUCUUUAGUUGUCUGAAAGUUUUGACUUCAGCAGGGCCUCACAUGUAGCGUGUGGCUGAAGCUGUUUUCUGAUACGUGUUUUCUCCAACCUAACCCCAGGUCCCGGUCUAGAUCCCGUUCCAGGUCCCGUGGAAGGAGGUAUUCUCGGUCACGCAGUCGAAGUCGUGGUAGGAGGUCCAGGUCUGCUUCCUAUCGUAGGUCCCGGUCUGUUUCUCCUCGUAGGUCUAGAUCUGUGUCUCCCCGACGGUCCCGAUCGGGUUCCUUGAAGAGAUCGAGGUCAAGGUCAAGAUCCAGGUCUAGAUCCAGAUCUGUUACAUGGCCCCGAAGCAGGUCUAGAUCUCAUGGCAGAUCUAAAUCCGGCUCGCCAGCUAAGAGUCGGUCAAAGUCCCGAUCACCAUCUCCAAAGAGAAGUCGUUCACCAUCAGGAAGCCCUCAAAGAAGUGCAAGUCCUGAAAGAAUGGAUUAAAGUUAUGAAUUUAACCUUGUAGGAAGAAAGUUAUUUUGCUUACAUUAUUAUAAGGGAUUUUGUGGUGUCUUUGUAAAUGUAAGAAUGUAGAUAGAAGAGUAUAUCAACUGAAAUUUGGCAUGAUCUGGGUCUUCUGAGUUAGUCGCACCAAUAGACUAGCACAGGUCUCUUUUUAUUGUAUGAAUUAACUUCCUGUGAUAUGAAAAUGUGGGACUUUUUUAUUGGCACAUUGAAAUAAAAUGUGUAUUUUUAACUAAAACUUCUCUGUAGUAACCCUGCUGCUUCUGUUAACGUUUGGGCAAUUUUAGCUGUGUGCCACGUAACAUGGAUGGAGCGUGUCCAAGUGGGAAUGACUAAUAGUAGAGUCUUCUCAGUCACUUUUCACGCUUAUUGUUGAAUGGUCUUUGGUGAAAGGAUCGGUUUCUGCUUUCUUUUAAAACGGAAUUUAAAAUCUCUCCCGUCUGCAGAUGGUUAAAAAUUUGCAUAUGCCUUUUGUAUUCCUUUACGAUCUUUAACGGGCAUUCGUUUUUCUAAUUCGUUUUUCUAAUUGUUGCUGACUCUGGUGCUUGACUAGUUGUAAUACCAAAUGCCCCCAAAUUUAACAACGAGCUUUUGUUCAAAACACAUACUUGAAGUGAGUAACAUCUGCAGAAACAUCUAAACGUUAAUAACUUGAUAAUUGCUACUUUGACUUGUUGCAUUUUUAGUUCUUUAGUUUUUUAGUGUAAUGAAAACUUCACAGUGUCUCAAGGCAUGUUCCCCUUUUUUGAGGGGCGACGUUAGGUCAUCUGACCUACUUUCUGAAGGAACUUGGGAGCGUGUGUUUGAGAGGCAAAAGAAAGUGCCGUGAGGCUUUCUGUUGUUGGCUCAGACUUUCCUCCCUCAAGUGAAAGAUCCUCACAGCUGACCUCAGGAAUGCUAGCCUGCUGCACAGAAAUUGGUACGAUUUUAAAGCAGCCCAGAUCCUCGAGACAAUUUUGUUGUAUUAAGCUAAUUUCUUACAGCAAAUACACACCUGCAGGAUUAAGGGUUUGUAUAUAGGUAUGUUACUCUGUGUUUGUCCUCAUUCUGUAGUCAAAAAUUGCAUGGUAAGGCACUUUGUUGACACAGAUCACAGCAAAAGAUGGGAAACGACGUUAGACUAUGAGCAAACAAACUGUUGGUGGAGGGGGAAAAAAGCUCAAAUAUUUUUUACUGUGAUGGGAGAGCUACCGGAAACAAAUGCUGGCUUUGGCAGAAAAGGAGAAAGUGAAGAACUAAAAAAAAAAAUCUGUCUAAAGCACUGAAAUGGGAAGUGAGGCCUCUCUGGGCUUUAAAUGAAACCUGUAAUGCUGCUUUCAAUGUGUAAACCAUAACGGAGCAUCUUAAAUGCAAGAAAACGCCAAAAUUAACCUCGGUCACACCUUUGGUAACCCAUGUUUUCCAAAGAAAAACCAUGUUGCCUGUGAAUAAUGGCUUUAUGGAGCUUCUUCGGUGUAUGAGUAAAAAGUGCAGACGCUGACAGUUCUGUCACGUCACAGCACUCUGGCCUUCACGCCUCGUCCUGGUGUUGUUUGCUUGGUGUCCGUGUGGACACCGCUGCGGUGCUUAGCGGUGGGACCUGUGUUCGUUUGCCUGGUGCAAGGACUGAUAUUCUGGCAAUAUCCCUAAAAUUCCACCAGGGGAGCGGUGGGGUGACACAAACGUUGCCCUGGAGCGAUUUAGCAGAAAUGCCCGAAGCCUGUGACUUGUGUUUGGGAUGCUUUUUGGUUGUGUAUUGCCCGCCCGGUUUAUGGCGUUACCUGGUGAGAAGCACACGUACGCUGCUGCUCUGGAAUUUGAUCAGCUUUUUUUCUCUUCUGUACUCGUAAGGCGAACCUACUCCGCAAUAAACCUGCAGACUGACA